Molecule: ribosomal RNA, 643 nt
Filed under: Listeria monocytogenes
Lineage: Bacteria; Bacillati; Bacillota; Bacilli; Caryophanales; Listeriaceae
Description: bacterial SSU rRNA
Rfam family: Bacterial small subunit ribosomal RNA
Source: RNAcentral
CGUAAACGAUGAGUGCUAAGUGUUAGGGGGUUUCCGCCCCUUAGUGCUGCAGCUAACGCAUUAAGCACUCCGCCUGGGGAGUACGACCGCAAGGUUGAAACUCAAAGGAAUUGACGGGGGCCCGCACAAGCGGUGGAGCAUGUGGUUUAAUUCGAAGCAACACGAAGAACCUUACCAGGGCUUGACAUCCAGUGCAAAGCUAUAGAGAUAUAGUGGAGGUUAACAUUGAGACAGGUGGUGCAUGGUUGUCGUCAGUUCGUGCCGUGAGGUGUUGGGUUAAGUCCCGCAACGAACGCAACCCUUGUCGUUAGUUACUAACAUUAAGUUGAGGACUCUAACGAGACUGCUAGUGUAAGCUAGAGGAAGGUGGGGAUGACGUCAAAUCAUCAUGCCCCUUAUGUCCUGGGCUACACACGUGCUACAAUGGCUGGUACAAAGAGUCGCAAUCUCGCGAGGGGGAGCUAAUCUCAAAAAGCCAGUCUCAGUUCGGAUUGAAGUCUGCAACUCGACUUCAUGAAGCCGGAAUCACUAGUAAUCGCGAAUCAGCUAUGUCGCGGUGAAUACGUUCUCGGGUCUUGUACACACCGCCCGACACACCACGAGAGUUGGUAAUACCAGAAGUGGGUAGCUUAACCGCAAGGAG